AAAAUGUGCAGCUAUUUGUAAUUGAUGUUAUUCCUCUGUAGGGUUUAUUGAGGAUGUCUGUUUCUGGCUCAUGAACCCCGAGUUCUCUAGCAUGUUGGCCUCCAUGGAGUAGCUAGCUAACGUUAGCCAUCUUAAUUAACAUGAAGAUGUCAACAAGUGCUGUCAGGACGCAUACCAUCACUGUUGCUGUAUGCAGCCCGUUGCUGGUUGCUCAAGGGCAGAUGGAGAACGAAGAAUAGAUUGAUCCGUAUAGAACUACGAUCCAAUCAUAAAGUCCAUGAGAAAGCCUGACGAGUGUAUGAAACAAAAUCAUGAAGUGUGAAAAUACACCAAGCAUGACGAAUACUGCCUUUUAUCGUGAUAUUAAUCUAAUCGGAAAACUAAAGGAAAGUCAUCUUCACCGGCAAGUAAUUACCCUAAUGUACCCACCAAGAGGAGGGAAUACAUGCAGGGCUCAGAUCAAGUGGACGUAACCGAGUGCAACAACAAAGUCGAAGGGUUACAAAGAGAGCCAUCAUGCAACCCAAUGUUCAAGGGAUUCCUCACCAAACUUCUGAAAGAGAGAGCCUGGUGUCUGUGGUUGUCUUAAUCAUAGUGGUCAUCAUCUGCAACAAGCUGUGGUCUACAGUCUCCUUGUUUGUCCAGUUCAAGCAAAUCUUUGCCAUUGGUUUCUCAUCAGUCUGGUCUGGAAUUGGUUCUAUCUCUACAAGGCUAUCACUAUGGCCAUCACCACCUUCUUCAUAGAGCCUCUGAAGCACUUUGGCCAGGGGAUCAGCCAGUUCCUACAAGCCCUCCUCAAGGACAUUAGUGUUUAAAGGCACAGUCAACUUAUCUCGGCAAGCAGUGGCGGAGAUCCAGAAGGUUCUGGAGGGAAUGGACAGCUGGAGAACGGGGACUCUGAACGAUGUCCUCAGCCAGAUCCUGGUGAAUCUCAAACCACAUGACUACAAGGCCUGGAGAUGGCAAUUUGAGGACACCUUUGGUGUGGAGAUCGACACAUCCAUGACGUUUAGAAUGCGUAGUUUAUGUGGUUUGCCUAAGCAAUUUACUGUGGAAAUUUGCAGAGUCACCUUGCGGUCACCAGUCACCUUGCAGAUCCCUGUGCUCCUCACCAUCGUGCUCUCCAUCCUGGUCUUUGUGUACAGCAGCGCCCAGGCUGCCAUCCUGCACGGCAUAUCCAGACACCCUGAGGAACGCCGACAGGCGGUACAGCAAGGACGAGAUCAUCUCGGAGAGGUGGGAGCGUUUCCCCGACGGUGUGCGGCCGGAGGGUUGCUCCAACGCAAAGCAUAUCGACCCUCUAAUGGUAGAGGACCGACAUCCAGGAAGAGGUACUGCAAGAACCAGUUGUAGCUGGAGCCACAACUGAAGGCAAUGACUCACAAGAAGCUUAAUCCUCUCCAGCUAAAGGC
Long non-coding RNA from Oncorhynchus tshawytscha (Chinook salmon), 1412 nucleotides. Lineage: Eukaryota; Metazoa; Chordata; Actinopteri; Salmoniformes; Salmonidae. The record is from Ensembl.